UGCAAGUCGAACGGAGCUUUGUAUUCGUACGAAGCUUAGUGGCGAACGGGUGAGUAACGCGUUGGUGACCUGCCCCGAAGAGAGGGACAACAGCUCGAAAGGGCUGCUAAUACCUCAUGUGGUCGUAAGGGUUAGAGGCCUUACGUCUAAAUGGAGUAAUCCGCUUCGGGAGGGGCCUGCGUCCCAUCAGCUUGUUGGUAGGGUAACGGCCUACCAAGGCGACGACGGGUAGGGGACCUGAGAGGGUGACCCCCCACACUGGCACUGAAACACGGGCCAGACACCUACGGGUGGCAGCAGUAGGGAAUAUUGCACAAUGGGCGAAAGCCUGAUGCAGCAACGCCGCGUGCACGAUGAAGGCCUUCGGGUCGUAAAGUGCUUUUCGGGGAGAUGAGGAAGGACAGUAUCCCCGGAAUAAGGAUCGCUAACUACGUGCCAGCAGCCGCGGUAAAACGUAGGAUCCGAGCGUUAUCCGAAUUUACUGGGCGUAAAGCGCGUGUAGGCGGUUCGGUAAGUUGGAUGUGAAAUCUCCUGGCUCAACUGGGAGAGGUCGUUCAAUACUGUCGGACUAGAGGGUGGUAGAGGGAGGUGGAAUUCCCGGUGUAGUGGUGAAAUGCGUAGAUAUCGGGAGGAACACCAGUGGCGAAAGCGGCCUCCUAGACCGCUCCUGACGCUCAGACGCGAAAGCUAGGGGAGCAAACGGGAUUAGAAACCCCGGUAGUCCUAGCUGUAAACGAUGUGGACUUGGCGUUGGUGGGGUAAAAGCCAUCAGUGCCGAAGCUAACGCGAUAAGUCCACCGCCUGGGGACUACGGCCG
Molecule: ribosomal RNA, 817 nt
Filed under: uncultured bacterium
Lineage: Bacteria
Description: bacterial SSU rRNA
Rfam family: Bacterial small subunit ribosomal RNA
Source: RNAcentral